Molecule: ribosomal RNA, 727 nt
Filed under: uncultured organism
Description: bacterial SSU rRNA
Rfam family: Bacterial small subunit ribosomal RNA
Source: RNAcentral
AAUGAGUAAUGUAGCGGUGAAAUGCUUAGAUAUUACUCAGAACCCCGAUUGCGAAGGCAGCUUACUAAACUGAUAUUGACGCUGAGGCACGAAAGCGUGGGGAGCGAACAGGAUUAGAUACCCUGGUAGUCCACGCCGUAAACGAUGAUCACUCGUUGUUGGCAAUACACCGUCAGCGACUGAGCGUAAGCAUUAAGUGAUCCACCUGGGGAGUACGAUCGCAAGAUGGAAACUCAAAGGAAUUGACGGGGGCCCGCACAAGCGGAGGAACAUGUGCUCUAAUUCGAUGAUACGCGAGGAACCUGACCUGGGCUUAAAUGUAGAGCGACGGACCGGGAAACUGGUCUUUCUUCGGACGAUCUACAAGGUGCUGCAUGGCUAUCGUCAGCUCGUACCGUGAGGUGUCGGGUUAAGUCCCAUAACGAGCGCUACCCUCAUCAUUAGUUGCCAGCGGGUAAUGCCGGGGACUCUAAUGAAACUGCCGGUGUAAACCGAGAGGAAGGUGGGGAUGACGUCAAGUCAGCACGGCCCUUAUGUCCAGGGCUACACACGUGUUACAAUGGUCAGUACAAAGGGCAGCUACCAUGCGAAUGGAUGCUAAUCUCGAAAACUGGUCUCAGUUCGGAUCGGAGUCUGCAACUCGACUUCGUGAAGUUGGAUUCGCUAGUAAUCGCGCAUCACCCACGGCGCGGUGAAUACGUUCCCGGGCCUUGUACACACCGCCCGU